AUGAACGCUGGCGGCGUGCCUAAUACAUGCCAGUCGAGCGAACAGACGAGGAGCUUGCUCCUCUGACGUUAGCGGCGGACGGGUGAGUAACACGUGGAUAACCUACCUAUAAGACUGGGAUAACUUCGGGAAACCGGAGCUAAUACCGGAUAACAUGCUGAACCGCAUGGUUUAACAGUGAAAGACGGUCUUGCUGUCACUUAUAGAUGGAUCCGCGCCGCAUUAGCUAGUUGGUAAGGUAACGGCUUACCAAGGCAACGAUGCGUAGCCGACCUGAGAGGGUGAUCGGCCACACUGGAACUGAGACACGGUCCAGACUCCUACGGGAGGCAGCAGUAGGGAAUCUUCCGCAAUGGGCGAAAGCCUGACGGAGCAACGCCGCGUGAGUGAAGAAGGUCUUCGGAUCGUAAAACUCUGUUAUUAGGGAAGAACAAAUGUGUAAGUAACUAUGCACGUCUUGACGGUACCUAAUCAGAAAGCCACGGCUAACUACGUG
RNAcentral lists this ribosomal RNA (496 nucleotides) under uncultured bacterium. Its description in RNAcentral is "partial 16S ribosomal RNA". It matches the Rfam family "Bacterial small subunit ribosomal RNA", at positions 29 to 507 of the family's 1533-position model. The record is from RNAcentral.